RNAcentral lists this transfer RNA (86 nucleotides) under Caudoviricetes sp. RNAcentral's name for it is "tRNA-Tyr". The record is from RNAcentral. Lineage: Duplodnaviria; Heunggongvirae; Uroviricota; Caudoviricetes.
CGGCGGGCGACAGAGUUGGAGAGCUGCGGCGGACUGUAAAUCCAUUCCCUUUGGGUGAAUAGGUUCGAAUCCUAUCUCGUCGACCA